ACGAACGCUGGCGGCGUGCUUCACCCCUGCAAGUCGAACGGAAAGGCCCUGCUUUUGUGGGGUGCUCGAGUGGCGAACGGGUGAGUAACACGUGAGUAACCUGCCCUUGACUUUGGGAUAACUUCAGGAAACUGGGGCUAAUACCGGAUAGGAGCUCCUGCUGCAUGGUGGGGGUUGGAAAGUUUCGGCGGUUGGGGAUGGACUCGCGGCUUAUCAGCUUGUUGGUGGGGUAGUGGCUUACCAAGGCUUUGACGGGUAGCCGGCCUGAGAGGGUGACCGGCCACAUUGGGACUGAGAUACGGCCCAGACUCCUACGGGAGGCAGCAGUGGGGAAUAUUGCACAAUGGGCGGAAGCCUGAUGCAGCAGCGCCGCGUGCGGGAUGACGGCCUUCGGGUUGUAAACCGCUUUCGCCUGUGACGAAGCGUGAGUGACGGUAAUGGGUAAAGAAGCACCGGCUAACUACGUG
This 467-nucleotide ribosomal RNA is filed under the name uncultured bacterium. RNAcentral's name for it is "partial 16S ribosomal RNA". It matches the Rfam family "Bacterial small subunit ribosomal RNA", at positions 29 to 507 of the family's 1533-position model. The record is from RNAcentral.